CGCAUCUGUGCAUGCAGCAUAUCAAUAAGCGGAGGAAAAGAAACUAACAAGGAUUCCCCUAGUAACGGCGAGUGAAGCGGGAAGAGCUCAAAUUUGAAAUCUUAAAGGGUUUCCCUUUACGAAUUGUAGUUUAAAGAAGUGUUUUCUGUUGAGGUUUUGGUAAAAGUUCUUUGGAAUAGGACAUCAUAGAGGGUGAGAAUCCCGUAUUUGACCUUUACUUUCAACUUUGUGAUACACUUUCAAAGAGUCGGAUUGUUUGGGAAUGCAGUCCAAAAUGGGUGGUAAAUUUCAUCUAAAGCUAAAUAUUGGCGAGAGACCGAUAGCGAACAAGUACCGUGAGGGAAAGAUGAAAAGAACUUUGAAAAGAGAGUUAAACAGUACGUGAAAUUGUCAAAAGGGAAGCGUUUGACACCAGUGUUGUUUUUCUGAAAAUCAAUUAAAGAACUGUUUAUGCUAAGCUGUUUAGGACUUUAUCAGCUAAUCUGUUUAGUUUUGAGCUUUUCUUUAAUGCACUUUUCAGUUAACAAGUCAACAUCAAUUUCUUUUGCUGUAAAAAAGCUUGAGGAAGGUGGCUUGAGAUUCGUCUUAAGUGUUUAUAGCCUCUUGCCUAUGCAGUCGGAGAGAUUGAGGUCUGCAGCGUAGAUCCUUCGGGGUUAAAUGCAUUUGUGCUAAGUUAUAGCAUUUUAUAGACAACUUGUUGACUAUGAUUUGUCUUGUAGCUUACUCGCUUAUGUUAUUUUACCUACGCUUAGGAUGUUGACAGCAGUAUAGACUGU
Molecule: ribosomal RNA, 776 nt
Filed under: uncultured Neocallimastigales
Lineage: Eukaryota; Fungi; Neocallimastigomycota; Neocallimastigomycetes; Neocallimastigales
Description: partial large subunit ribosomal RNA
Rfam family: Eukaryotic large subunit ribosomal RNA
Source: RNAcentral